Molecule: long non-coding RNA, 2389 nt
Filed under: Homo sapiens (human)
Lineage: Eukaryota; Metazoa; Chordata; Mammalia; Primates; Hominidae
Description: HSALNT0404380
Source: RNAcentral
CUGCCAGCGUGGAAAACCGGCCACGUGCAGGUCUGGGGCUGGGCACACACAGGGUCACACCCAGGAAGGGAUAAGCUAUGCAUUUCUAUUGAUAGAGUGGGCAGGGACCACAGGAAUUUAGAAAAUAUUAGGGCCAAGUUUACUGGGGAAAAUGUACAGGCCAGCAGAUAGCAUGGAAAAGUCCCCUCCCUGAGGAAGGGAAGCAUCUCAGAGGAGGUAAGAGACUGCUCCCAGGGCUGUGGUUAGAGCCUCCCCAACCGCAGCACGAUGCCCUUUGUCCCAUCUUCAGCAGGAGGGGCUGCUCUCCAUGGAGAUGAGGCUGACAGGGUCAGCGGAGUAGCCUGUGACAGGCAGGUUUUAAUAAGUUCAUUUUCAGCCAACCCCUGAAAUGGGUUAUUUUUGUUCCAUGGGAAUGCUCUACAUCUUCUGAAAGAUGGCACCUGGGACCCAGCCCAUGGCCUUCCUGGGGUAGGAUGUGCUGGAGAAGGAUUCUGUGGACCUGACAGAGAAGACAGAAGCCAGAGAGUAGACACCCGGAAAGAAAGAGGGAAAAGUGUGGUGGGAAGGACAGAGGGGACCCGAAGUUCCCCACGCCAGGGAAAUGACAGGGGGUUGCCAGUCUGUUUCUGAUGGUUGAGCAGUCAGGGGCCCAGAGACGCAGGAAACCCAAAAUCCUUGGUCCACCACGGGGCUGUCCUCAGGGUCUGGAGAGCAGGCCCCAUACUCCAGGCCCCCAUCCUCCAGGCCCUCGUCCCCCAGGCUCCAUCCUCCAGGCCCCCAUUCUCCAGGGCUCCAUCCUCUAGGCCCCUGUCCUCCAGGCCCCCAUCCUCUAGGCCCUCAUCCUCCAGGCUCCAUCCUCCAGGCUCCAUCCUCCAGGUUUCAUCCUUCAGGCCAUCAUCCUCCAGGCCCCCGUCCUCCAGGCCCCCAUCCUCCAGGCCCCAUCCUCCAGGCCCCCAUCUUUCAGGCCCCUGUCCUCCAGGCUCUUGUCCUCCAGGCCCUCAUCCUCCAGGCCCCUGCUCCUCCAGACCCUCAUCCUCCAGACCCUCAUCCUCCAGGCCCCCAUCUUUCAGGCCCCUGUCCUCCAGGCCCUCUUCCUCCAGACCCUCGUCCUCCAGGCCCCUGUUCCUCCAGACCCUCGUCCUCCAGACCCUCAUUCUCCAGGCCCCCGUCCUCCAGGCUCCAUCCUCCAGGGCUCCUCUGGGUCCGGGUCAAGUACCUCCAGGCUCUCUGCUGACUGUUCACCACUGGGCAACCACAGGGACUCGAUCCAUGAAAACUCUGGCAAGGUCAGUUUCCUUGUUCUACAUCCCUGUCACUUUAGUCACCAUCAUGAUAUAAGUGACUGAGUCAUUGUUUUCUCUCAUAUUCCCACCCACCUCUCCUCUCUGCUUCCUCCCCAUCAACUCGACUUCCCACCGCUCACUGCAGCCCCUUCAGGAUUCCUGCUGCGACCACCUGACCCAUGCAAAAGAGACCACUUCUCAGCCUCUCUCACUCUCCUGGCCCUGGCGGAAGCCUGUGUUGUCAUAGGCAUGCUUCCCUGGAAUCCUGCUCAGGCCCCCACGCAGGGACACUGAGUGCCCACAGAGUUGGGAAACCAUUACACGAGAUGGGACGUCUGCAAUAGAGUGGCAUCGCUAGUUGAAAGUGGAGCUGUUCACAACCUCCACAACUGUACUUGGUGGCCACGUCCCCAUCACAUGGGCUCAGACUGGGGGCUGGACAUUGACUUUGAGCCCCAAGUCUUCACCCUCAUGCAAAAACCAUCCUCCUUGGAGAUGCAGGCUGGGAAGGGCGCCAUGUCCGGAGUCCCUGCCCUGCUGUCAUCUGCCGACCUUUGUGCAGCCUGUCCCUUUCGUUAAGAAUUUCAGCACUGAGUUCACUGUGUUCCUUGUCAUGCUAAGACUUGGCCACAUCCCAGCCAUCUUCAACAUGGCGGUCGAUGUUUCAUCAAAAUUCACAGUCGCUCAGAUUUUAUUUUUCCUCAUCUCUAGGAACUUCCAUCUCCACUCCACUUCUGCCACUUCUGCCACCCUCCCAUGACCACACUCAGAACUUGAGCUCCACCUCUGAAAGAGGCAGAAUUGCCUUAUCUCACACAGUGGUGACAGCACUCUGUAAUAAUCUGCAUGGGCCAGGGCUCCUUGGUUGCAGGUAACAGAUACCACUGUUACGGCCCAACUCUGUUCUUCUAUGUUGAAGCCGGAACCCCCAGCGCCUCAGAAUGGGAUCACAUCUGGAGAAGGCGCCUUUAAAGAGAACCCAUCGUAUAAAAAGGCCAUACCUUCUGGAGGGACGUCGAUGGUAUUAGGAUAGAAGCACCAGGGGACCCCACGAACGGUGUCGUCGAAACAGCAGCCCUUAUUUGCACACUGGGAGGGCGUGACAC